RNAcentral lists this ribosomal RNA (427 nucleotides) under uncultured Rhodocyclaceae bacterium. Its description in RNAcentral is "bacterial SSU rRNA". It matches the Rfam family "Bacterial small subunit ribosomal RNA", at positions 356 to 774 of the family's 1533-position model. Lineage: Bacteria; Pseudomonadati; Pseudomonadota; Betaproteobacteria; Rhodocyclales; Rhodocyclaceae. The record is from RNAcentral.
GGGGAAUUUUGGACAAUGGGGGCAACCCUGAUCCAGCCAUGCCGCGUGAGUGAAGAAGGCCUUCGGGUUGUAAAGCUCUUUCGGCCGGGAAGAAAUCGUGCAGGCUAAUACCCAAGAUGAGUGGACGUUACUCGCAGAAUAAGCACCGGCUAACUACGUGCCAGCAGCCGCGGUAAUACGUAGGGUGCGAGCGUUAAUCGGAAUUACUGGGCGUAAAGCGUGCGCAGGCGGUUUUGUAAGACAGGCGUGAAAUCCCCGGGCUCAACCUGGGAACUGCGCUUGUGACUGCAAGACUAGAGUACGGCAGAGGGGGGUGGAAUUCCACGUGUAGCAGUGAAAUGCGUAGAGAUGUGGAGGAACACCAAUGGCGAAGGCAGCCCCCUGGGUCGAUACUGACGCUCAUGCACGAAAGCGUGGGGAGCAAACA